CAACAGCUAGAGUUUGAUCCUGGCUCAGGAUGAACGCUGGCGGCGUGCCUAACACAUGCAAGUCGAGCGAUUUACUUCGGUAAAGAGCGGCGGACGGGUGAGUAACGCGUGGGUAACCUGCCCUGUACACACGGAUAACAUACCGAAAGGUAUGCUAAUACGAGAUAAUAUGCUUUUAUCGCAUGGUAGAAGUAUCAAAGCUUUUGCGGUACAGGAUGGACCCGCGUCUGAUUAGCUAGUUGGUAAGGUAACGGCUUACCAAGGCGACGAUCAGUAGCCGACCUGAGAGGGUGAUCGGCCACAUUGGAACUGAGACACGGUCCAAACUCCUACGGGAGGCAGCAGUGGGGAAUAUUGCACAAUGGGCGAAAGCCUGAUGCAGCAACGCCGCGUGAGCGAUGAAGGCCUUCGGGUCGUAAAGCUCUGUCCUCAAGGAAGAUAAUGACGGUACUUGAGGAGGAAGCCCCGGCUAACUACGUGCCAGCAGCCGCGGUAA
RNAcentral lists this ribosomal RNA (496 nucleotides) under uncultured bacterium. RNAcentral's name for it is "bacterial SSU rRNA". It matches the Rfam family "Bacterial small subunit ribosomal RNA", at positions 1 to 523 of the family's 1533-position model. The record is from RNAcentral.